Molecule: ribosomal RNA, 1037 nt
Filed under: Staphylococcus aureus
Lineage: Bacteria; Bacillati; Bacillota; Bacilli; Caryophanales; Staphylococcaceae
Description: partial 23S ribosomal RNA
Rfam family: Bacterial large subunit ribosomal RNA
Source: RNAcentral
CGUUGAUUUCACACUGCCGAGAAAAGCCUCUAGAUAGAAAAUAGGUGCCCGUACCGCAAACCGACACAGGUAGUCAAGAUGAGAAUUCUAAGGUGAGCGAGCGAACUCUCGUUAAGGAACUCGGCAAAAUGACCCCGUAACUUCGGGAGAAGGGGUGCUCUUUAGGGUUAACGCCCAGAAGAGCCGCAGUGAAUAGGCCCAAGCGACUGUUUAUCAAAAACACAGGUCUCUGCUAAACCGUAAGGUGAUGUAUAGGGGCUGACGCCUGCCCGGUGCUGGAAGGUUAAGAGGAGUGGUUAGCUUCUGCGAAGCUACGAAUCGAAGCCCCAGUAAACGGCGGCCGUAACUAUAACGGUCCUAAGGUAGCGAAAUUCCUUGUCGGGUAAGUUCCGACCCGCACGAAAGGCGUAACGAUUUGGGCACUGUCUCAACGAGAGACUCGGUGAAAUCAUAGUACCUGUGAAGAUGCAGGUUACCCGCGACAGGACGGAAAGACCCCGUGGAGCUUUACUGUAGCCUGAUAUUGAAAUUCGGCACAGCUUGUACAGGAUAGGUAGGAGCCUUUGAAACGUGAGCGCUAGCUUACGUGGAGGCGCUGGUGGGAUACUACCCUAGCUGUGUUGGCUUUCUAACCCGCACCACUUAUCGUGGUGGGAGACAGUGUCAGGCGGGCAGUUUGACUGGGGCGGUCGCCUCCUAAAAGGUAACGGAGGCGCUCAAAGGUUCCCUCAGAAUGGUUGGAAAUCAUUCAUAGAGUGUAAAGGCAUAAGGGAGCUUGACUGCGAGACCUACAAGUCGAGCAGGGUCGAAAGACGGACUUAGUGAUCCGGUGGUUCCGCAUGGAAGGGCCAUCGCUCAACGGAUAAAAGCUACCCCGGGGAUAACAGGCUUAUCUCCCCCAAGAGUUCACAUCGACGGGGAGGUUUGGCACCUCGAUGUCGGCUCAUCGCAUCCUGGGGCUGUAGUCGGUCCCAAGGGUUGGGCUGUUCGCCCAUUAAAGCGGUACGCGAGCUGGGUUCAGAACGUCGUGAGACAGU